Molecule: ribosomal RNA, 250 nt
Filed under: uncultured bacterium
Lineage: Bacteria
Description: partial 16S ribosomal RNA
Rfam family: Bacterial small subunit ribosomal RNA
Source: RNAcentral
GACGGGAGGGGCUGGUGUUACUCAUCUUGACUGGGCGUAAAGGAUGCGUAGAUGGUUGUUUAAGUUUAAAAUAAAAGGUUAAUUUUUAAAAAUAAUUUUUUAUACUAAAUAACUUUGAGUUUAAAUGAGGAAAAAGGUACUCACAAUGUAGAGGUGACAUUCGGUGAUAUUGACGGGGACUAUCAAUGGCGAAAGCAUUUUUCUAAUUUAAUACUGACAGUGAGGCAUUACAGCAUAGGUAUCGAACAGG